Molecule: long non-coding RNA, 637 nt
Organism: Brachypodium distachyon (stiff brome)
Lineage: Eukaryota; Viridiplantae; Streptophyta; Magnoliopsida; Poales; Poaceae
Exons: 4
Source: RefSeq, a predicted model, not a curated record
AUGAAGAGGACUAAGAGAGAUGAUUGUGGCAUCAUCCCUAUUUACUACAGAAUAGUGGUCUUUGAUCUAUUUGUAUUGUAGAAGUACUCAUCUACCUGCAAUGGAGGAGUGCCAAAUACCAUCUUCGUUUUGUCUACCAAGAGGAUGACUGAGCAUCACCAUAUAUUCCAGAAAGCAGGGUGGAUAAACAUGCCUACUAAACCUGAGUUCUUGACAUUUAAUGUAGACCAAUUGGAAGCAGUGGACCCCUGCCACACAGGAGCCAGAAAAGUAAGCGUGUACAGAUGACCGAAAGCGAGUAAACUGUACCAAUGAUCAAGAGUGCAUGGUCCUCCCGUUGCCCUGAACACAAGGAACGUCAAGCGGUCUCUCAGAUAGUCAGGUUCGUGAACUUUGUAUAACUGCACCUUCUGGUUUUUGUGCAUCGAAUUUGUUCUGGCAAACUGAGUCGUUGUAACUAUGCAGAAGUUACUCGUUGUCACUUAGCUUGGUUUCAAAACAUAUCUAGCUGUGGUAUGUAGUUUUCUGUUUUCUACUUAUUUCAUAAGCUACUUCGAAGAAAGAAAGAAAAUGAAUGUUUUUAUGUUGCAUUUGGCAUUUCAGUGAUUUAUGUGGAAAGCACUUAAAUUAUUUUUUC